CUGGUUGAUCCUGCCAGAGGUUACUGCUAUCGAGGUUCGACUAAGCCAUGCGAGUCGAAUGUAGCAAUACAUGGCGUACUGCUCAGUAACACGUGGACAACCUACCCUCAGGACAGGUAUAAACCCGGGAAACUGGGUAUAAUCCCUGAUAGUCCUCGGCUGCUGGAAUGCGUCGAGGACGAAAGCUCCGGCGCCUGAGGAUGGGUCUGCGGCCUAUCAGGUAGUAGUGGGUGUAACGUACCUACUAGCCUACGACGGGUACGGGUUGUGAGAGCAAGAGCCCGGAGAUGGAUUCUGAGACACGAAUCCAGGCCCUACGGGGUGCAGCAGGCGCGAAAACUUUACAAUGCCGGCAACGGCGAUAAGGGGACCUCGAGUGCCAGGUUACAAAUCUGGCUGUCGUGAUGCCUAAAAAGCAUUGCAUAGCAAGGGCCGGGCAAGACCGGUGCCAGCCGCCGCGGUAACACCGGCGGCUCGAGUGGUAACCGUUAUUAUUGGGUCUAAAGGGUCUGUAGCCGGCCGGAUAAGUCUCUUGGGAAAUCCAGCAGCUCAACUGUUGGGCUUUCAGGAGAUACUGUUCGGCUCGAGGCCGGGAGAGGUGAGAGGUACUUCAGGGGUAGGGGUGAAAUCUUGUAAUCCUUGAAGGACCACCAGUGGCGAAGGCGUCUCACCAGAACGGACCUGACGGCAAGGGACGAAAGCUAGGGGCACGAACCGGAUUAGAUACCCGGGUAGUCCUAGCCGUAAACGAUACUCGCUAGGUGUCGGCCACGGUGCGACCGUUGUCGGUGCCGUAGGGAAGCCGUGAAGCGAGCCACCUGGGAAGUACGGCCGCAAGGCUGAAACUUAAAGGAAUUGGCGGGGGAGCACCACAACGGGUGGAGCUUGCGGUUUAAUUGGGAUUCAACGCCCGGG
RNAcentral lists this ribosomal RNA (915 nucleotides) under uncultured archaeon. RNAcentral's name for it is "bacterial SSU rRNA". It matches the Rfam family "Archaeal small subunit ribosomal RNA", at positions 4 to 923 of the family's 1478-position model. The record is from RNAcentral.